AUUGAACGCUGGCGGCAGGCCUAACACAUGCAAGUCGAGCGGAUGAAGGGAGCUUGCUCCUGGAUUCAGCGGCGGACGGGUGAGUAAUGCCUAGGAAUCUGCCUGGUAGUGGGGGAUAACGUCCGGAAACGGGCGCUAAUACCGCAUACGUCCUGAGGGAGAAAGUGGGGGAUUUUCGGACAUAACGCUAUCAGAUGAGCCUAGGUCGGCUUAGCUCGUUGGUGGGGUAAAGGCCUACCAAGGCGACGAUCCGUAACUGGUCUGAGAGGAUGAUCAGGCACACUGGAACUGAAACACGGUCCAUGCUCCUACGGGAGGCAGCAGUGGGGAAUAUUGGACAAUGGGCGAAAGCCUGAUCCAGCCAUGCCGCGUGUGUGAAGAAGGUCUUCGGAUUGUAAAGCACUUUAAGUUGGGAGGAAGGGCAGUAAGUUAAUACCUUGCUGUUUUGACGUUACCAACAGAAUAAGCACCGGCUAACUUCGUG
RNAcentral lists this ribosomal RNA (484 nucleotides) under uncultured bacterium. Its description in RNAcentral is "partial 16S ribosomal RNA". It matches the Rfam family "Bacterial small subunit ribosomal RNA", at positions 30 to 507 of the family's 1533-position model. The record is from RNAcentral.